GAUGAACGCUGGCGGCGUGCCUAAUACAUGCAAGUCGAGCGAACGGACGAGAAGCUUGCUUUUCUGAUGUUAGCGGCGGACGGGUGAGUAACACGUGGAUAACCUACCUAUAAGACUGGGAUAACUUCGGGAAACCGGAGCUAAUACCGGAUAAUAUUUUGAACCGCAUGGUUCAAAAGUGAAAGACGGUCUUGCUGUCACUUAUAGAUGGAUCCGCGCUGCAUUAGCUAGUUGGUAAGGUAACGGCUUACCAAGGCAACGAUGCAUAGCCGACCUGAGAGGGGGAUCGGCCACACUGGAACUGAGACACGGUCCAGACUCCUACGGGAGGCAGCAGUAGGGAAUCUUCCGCAAUGGGCGAAAGCCUGACGGAGCAACGCCGCGUGAGUGAUGAAGGUCUUCGGAUCGUAAAACUCUGUUAUUAGGGAAGAACAUAUGUGUAAGUAACUGUGCACAUCUUGACGGUACCUAAUCAGAAAGCCACGGCUAACUACGU
This 496-nucleotide ribosomal RNA is filed under the name uncultured bacterium. Its description in RNAcentral is "partial 16S ribosomal RNA". It matches the Rfam family "Bacterial small subunit ribosomal RNA", at positions 28 to 506 of the family's 1533-position model. The record is from RNAcentral.